RNAcentral lists this ribosomal RNA (429 nucleotides) under bacterium. RNAcentral describes it as "partial 16S ribosomal RNA". It matches the Rfam family "Bacterial small subunit ribosomal RNA", at positions 355 to 776 of the family's 1533-position model. The record is from RNAcentral.
UAGGGAAUCUUCCACAAUGGACGCAAGUCUGAUGGAGCAACGCCGCGUGAGUGAAGAAGGUUUUCGGAUCGUAAAGCUCUGUUUUUGGUGAAGAAGGAUAGAGGCAGUAACUGGUCUUUAUUUGACGGUAAUCAACCAGAAAGUCACGGCUAACUACGUGCCAGCAGCCGCGGUAAUACGUAGGUGGCAAGCGUUGUCCGGAUUUAUUGGGCGUAAAGCGAGCGCAGGCGGAAUGAUAAGUCUGAUGUGAAAGCCCACGGCUCAACCGUGGAACUGCAUCGGAAACUGUCAUUCUUGAGUGCAGAAGAGGAGAGUGGAAUUCCAUGUGUAGCGGUGGAAUGCGUAGAUAUAUGGAAGAACACCAGUGGCGAAGGCGGCUCUCUGGUCUGCAACUGACGCUGAGGCUCGAAAGCAUGGGUAGCGAACAGG